UGGGGAAUUUUGGACAAUGGACGCAAGUCUGAUCCAGCCAUUCCGCGUGCAGGACGAAGGCCUUCGGGUUGUAAACUGCUUUUGUACGGAACGAAAAAGCUCUUAUUAAUACUAGGAGUCCAUGACGGUACCGUAAGAAUAAGCACCGGCUAACUACGUGCCAGCAGCCGCGGUAAUACGUAGGGUGCAAGCGUUAAUCGGAAUUACUGGGCGUAAAGCGUGCGCAGGCGGUUAUAUAAGACAGAUGUGAAAUCCCCGAGCUUAACUUGGGAACUGCAUUUGUGACUGUAUAGCUAGAGUACGGCAGAGGGGGAUGGAAUUCCGCGUGUAGCAGUGAAAUGUGUAGAUAUGCGGAGGAACACCGAUGGCGAAGGCAAUCCCCUGGGCCUGUACUGACGCUCAUGCACGAAAGCGUGGGGAGCAAACAGGAUUAGAUACCCUGGUAGUCCACGCCGUAAACGAUGGGUACUAGGUGUCUGGGGGAACGACCCCCUGGGUGCCGGCGCUAACGCAUGAAGUACCCCGCCUGGGGAGUACGGCCGCAAGGCUG
This 550-nucleotide ribosomal RNA is filed under the name uncultured prokaryote. RNAcentral's name for it is "bacterial SSU rRNA". It matches the Rfam family "Bacterial small subunit ribosomal RNA", at positions 355 to 896 of the family's 1533-position model. The record is from RNAcentral.